CCUACGGGAGGCAGCAGUGGGGAAUAUUGCGCAAUGGGCGAAAGCCUGACGCAGCGACGCCGCGUGAGGGAUGAAGGUCUUCGGAUCGUAAACCUCUGUUAGCAGGGAAGAACGGUCACUGUGCUAAUCAGCAGUGAAUUGACGGUACCUGCAAAGGAAGCACCGGCUAACUCCGUGCCAGCAGCCGCGGUAAUACGGAGGGUGCGAGCGUUAAUCGGAAUUACUGGGCGUAAAGCGCUCGUAGGCGGUAUGUCAAGUCAAGGGUGAAAGCCCCGGGCUCAACGGGGGAACUGCAUUUGAAACUGGCAAACUGGAGUGUGUGAGAGGAUAGUGGAAUUCCAGGUGUAGGAGUGAAAUCCGUAGAUAUCUGGAGGAACAUCAGUGGCGAAGGCGACUAUCUGGCACAUAACUGACGCUGAGGAGCGAAAGCGUGGGUAGCAAACAGGAUUAGAUACCCCAGUAGUC
Molecule: ribosomal RNA, 465 nt
Filed under: uncultured bacterium
Lineage: Bacteria
Description: partial 16S ribosomal RNA
Rfam family: Bacterial small subunit ribosomal RNA
Source: RNAcentral